UACGUAGGGGGCAAGCGUUGUCCGGAAUUAUUGGGCGUAAAGAGCGUGUAGGCGGUCCGGUAAGUCAGCUGUGAAAGUCAAGGGCUCAACCCUUGAAAGCCGGUUGAUACUGUCGGGCUAGAGUCCGGAAGAGGCGAGUGGAAUUCCCGGUGUAGCGGUGAAAUGCGUAGAUAUCGGAAGGAACAUCAGUGGCGAAAGCGACUUCCUGGACCAGUACCGACGUUCAGGCACGAAAGCGUGGGGAGCAAACAGG
Molecule: ribosomal RNA, 253 nt
Filed under: uncultured bacterium
Lineage: Bacteria
Description: partial 16S ribosomal RNA
Rfam family: Bacterial small subunit ribosomal RNA
Source: RNAcentral